Molecule: RNase P RNA, 306 nt
Filed under: uncultured Leptotrichia sp.
Lineage: Bacteria; Fusobacteriati; Fusobacteriota; Fusobacteriia; Fusobacteriales; Leptotrichiaceae
Description: Bacterial RNase P class A
Rfam family: Bacterial RNase P class A
About the family: Ribonuclease P (RNase P) is a ubiquitous endoribonuclease, found in archaea, bacteria and eukarya as well as chloroplasts and mitochondria.
Source: RNAcentral
AUAAUUCAGGAGGAAAGUCCGGACUUCACAGGGCAAGGGAGACAGUUAACGGCUGUUGGAAGAAAUUCUAAGGAAAGUGCCACAGAAAAUAUACCGCCUAAUUUUUUAGGUAAGGGUGAAAUGGUAGUGUAAGAGACUACCGGUGAUUUAAGAGAUUAAAUCAGCCAGGUAAACCCCUCUCGAAGCAAGAAUAAGCAGAAAGUGGUUAAAAGGCUGCCCGUCUUCACUUAAUGGGUAAUUCGCUAAAGCUGACAGGUAACUGUUUGAUUAGAUAAAUGACUGGCAAAUACAGAAUCCGGCUUAUAC